Long non-coding RNA from Numida meleagris (helmeted guineafowl), 1192 nucleotides. RefSeq lists it as uncharacterized. The record is from RefSeq and is a predicted model, not a curated record. Lineage: Eukaryota; Metazoa; Chordata; Aves; Galliformes; Numididae. The transcript has 3 exons.
CUGGAAAUAUUUCAAGUACCAGGAGGGGAUUAGGGACUUCGGAGCGCUCUUUGCUCUUGCCCUGUGGCACAGAGCAGAAUCGACAGGAAAACCUCAGAGCAGAGACUUUCGGAGUUGGCUACGAGUCUGGGUUUGGCUCUGCCACCGUCCCCAGCCCCAGGAGCGGCCCGGUGUGCGCAGGGCUCUCUGGGGACACAGUUCCUCCCACAGGCAUGCUGCGUCACACCGACAUCCUCAGCGGAGCGCGCGGUGCCAGCCAGGCGCUCGCCGGCCCUUUGCCUCCCUGGCUACUCUGAGCGCUGGCUACGAGCCUGCUGCAUCUUUGUGCAGUUCUUAAAAAUAACCAGAAGCACUCAGGAGCAGACAGAGCAAUCCCAGAGACUCCGAGCAUCGAAGGGGCUUUGUUUCCAAGGCAACAUCUUGUCUCCUAGCUGCGAAAGGCCACGGGAAUGAAGGCAGCCUAUGGAAAAUGAAUAGCUCAAUGACAACAACAAAAAAAAAUCUGCUGGGGAGCGUAUCAGGAAGGGAGGGAGAGGGGUGUGCUGAAGGGGGCCAGGAAGGAUCACACCACGAGGGUACAGGCUUCCAGAGCUGUGCGGCCCAUUGCUGUGAAUAGCCGUGUGAACCCGAGCGAGGCGACGGCUGCGCUAAGGCCGGGCUGUGCCGAACGAGGUUGAGCCUUUGCAGUGGCUUCCGAGCCAGCUGCCCAUGCAGCGAACCGGGGGCUUGGGGCUUGGGGAGCCCAGCAGCAACACCGGUGCCCCACAGCACCUUCCUGGACAAGGGGAUGCCGGCAUGCCUGCAGCUCUGCUGCGGUGCUAUUUCGUGUGCACAUCGCCCUUACGUGACAAGACAGCUGUUCCCUGGCCUUAAUACAAUAAGGUGCUGAGCACCUGUUACACAGCCUGGAGCACACUGACCCCUACCUGGUCCCCAACUCUCCGUGCAACGCUGUGCUUUGGCAACCUGAGCUCCCUUGCUCCAUCUCAGCACACACAGCUUGGCUUCAGCCCUGCACAGCACAUGCUCAGAUCUCCUCUACAGACACAAGUUGUCAAGUUCUCAACCUCCCUUGUAGCUGAUAUCUUCAGGUCAAUCUGGAAAUGCAUUUACAGACGGUGUUUGUCUAUCAGAAUAAAGAUCUCCACAGCUCCUCAUCACUUCUGGCGAACCACAACGUUUAGUAAUGAAG